RNAcentral lists this ribosomal RNA (425 nucleotides) under uncultured bacterium. RNAcentral's name for it is "bacterial SSU rRNA". It matches the Rfam family "Bacterial small subunit ribosomal RNA", at positions 354 to 796 of the family's 1533-position model. The record is from RNAcentral.
GUUAGGAAUAUUGGACAAUGGGCGCAAGCCUGAUCCAGCCAUGCCGCGUGAGUGAUGAAGGCCUUCGGGUUGUAAAGCUCUUUAGCCGAUGAUUAUAAUGACUGUAGUCGGAAAAUAAGCCCCGGCUAACUUCGUGCCAGCAGCCGCGGUAAUACGAAGGGGGCGAGCGUUAUUCGGAAUCACUGGGCGUAAAGCGUGCGUAGGCGGCUUUGCAAGUUGGGAGUGAAAGCCCAGGGCUCAACCCUGGAAUUGCUCUCAAAACUGCAAGGCUCGAAUUCGGGAGAGGAUAGCGGAAUUGUCAGUGUAGCAGUGAAAUGCGUAGAUAUUGACAGGAACACCAGUGGCGUAAGCGGCUAUCUGGACCGAUAUUGACGCUGAGGCACGAAAGCGUGGGGAUCAAACAGGAUUAGAAACCCUGGUAGUCC